RNAcentral lists this ribosomal RNA (1791 nucleotides) under Shigella flexneri. RNAcentral's name for it is "partial 23S ribosomal RNA". It matches the Rfam family "Bacterial large subunit ribosomal RNA", at positions 1 to 1808 of the family's 2925-position model. Lineage: Bacteria; Pseudomonadati; Pseudomonadota; Gammaproteobacteria; Enterobacterales; Enterobacteriaceae. The record is from RNAcentral.
GGGUUGUGAGGUUAAGCGACUAAGCGUACACGGUGGAUGCCCUGGCAGUCAGAGGCGAUGAAGGACGUGCUAAUCUGCGAUAAGCGUCGGUAAGGUGAUAUGAACCGUUAUAACCGGCGAUUUCCGAAUGGGGAAACCCAGUGUGAUUCGUCACACUAUCAUUAACUGAAUCCAUAGGUUAAUGAGGCGAACCGGGGGAACUGAAACAUCUAAGUACCCCGAGGAAAAGAAAUCAACCGAGAUUCCCCCAGUAGCGGCGAGCGAACGGGGAGCAGCCCAGAGCCUGAAUCAGUGUGUGUGUUAGUGGAAGCGUCUGGAAAGGCGUGCGAUACAGGGUGACAGCCCCGUACACAAAAAUGCACAUACUGUGAGCUCGAUGAGUAGGGCGGGACACGUGGUAUCCUGUCUGAAUAUGGGGGGACCAUCCUCCAAGGCUAAAUACUCCUGACUGACCGAUAGUGAACCAGUACCGUGAGGGAAAGGCGAAAAGAACCCCGGCGAGGGGAGUGAAAAAGAACCUGAAACCGUGUACGUACAAGCAGUGGGAGCACGCUUAGGCGUGUGACUGCGUACCUUUUGUAUAAUGGGUCAGCGACUUAUAUUCUGUAGCAAGGUUAACCGAAUAGGGGAGCCGAAGGGAAACCGAGUCUUAACUGGGCGUUAAGUUGCAGGGUAUAGACCCGAAACCCGGUGAUCUAGCCAUGGGCAGGUUGAAGGUUGGGUAACACUAACUGGAGGACCGAACCGACUAAUGUUGAAAAAUUAGCGGAUGACUUGUGGCUGGGGGUGAAAGGCCAAUCAAACCGGGAGAUAGCUGGUUCUCCCCGAAAGCUAUUUAGGUAGCGCCUCGUGAAUUCAUCUCCGGGGGUAGAGCACUGUUUCGGCAAGGGGGUCAUCCCGACUUACCAACCCGAUGCAAACUGCGAAUACCGGAGAAUGUUAUCACGGGAGACACACGGCGGGUGCUAACGUCCGUCGUGAAGAGGGAAACAACCCAGACCGCCAGCUAAGGUCCCAAAGUCAUGGUUAAGUGGGAAACGAUGUGGGAAGGCCCAGACAGCCAGGAUGUUGGCUUAGAAGCAGCCAUCAUUUAAAGAAAGCGUAAUAGCUCACUGGUCGAGUCGGCCUGCGCGGAAGAUGUAACGGGGCUAAACCAUGCACCGAAGCUGCGGCAGCGACGCUUAUGCGUUGUUGGGUAGGGGAGCGUUCUGUAAGCCUGUGAAGGUGUGCUGUGAGGUAUGCUGGAGGUAUCAGAAGUGCGAAUGCUGACAUAAGUAACGAUAAAGCGGGUGAAAAGCCCGCUCGCCGGAAGACCAAGGGUUCCUGUCCAACGUUAAUCGGGGCAGGGUGAGUCGACCCCUAAGGCGAGGCCGAAAGGCGUAGUCGAUGGGAAACAGGUUAAUAUUCCUGUACUUGGUGUUACUGCGAAGGGGGGACGGAGAAGGCUAUGUUGGCCGGGCGACGGUUGUCCCGGUUUAAGCGUGUAGGCUGGUUUUCCAGGCAAAUCCGGAAAAUCAAGGCCGAGGCGUGAUGACGAGGCACUACGGUGCUGAAGCAACAAAUGCCCUGCUUCCAGGAAAAGCCUCUAAGCAUCAGGUAACAUCAAAUCGUACCCCAAACCGACACAGGUGGUCAGGUAGAGAAUACCAAGGCGCUUGAGAGAACUCGGGUGAAGGAACUAGGCAAAAUGGUGCCGUAACUUCGGGAGAAGGCACGCUGAUACGUAGGUGAAGCGACUUGCUCGUGGAGCUGAAAUCAGUCGAAGAUACCAGCUGGCUGCAACUGUUUAUU